GACAGAGGGGGCAAGCGUUGCUCGGAAUCACUGGGCGUAAAGGGCGCGUAGGCGGGUCCGCAAGUCGAUCGUGAAAUCCUUCGGCUCAACUGAAGGGGGUCGGUCGAUACUGCCGUGCUUGAGGACUGGAGAGGAGACUGGAAUUUACGGUGUAGCAGUGAAAUGCGUAGAGAUCGUAAGGAAGACCAGUGGCGAAGGCGGGUCUCUGGACAGUUCCUGACACUGAGGCACGAAGGCCAGGGGAGCAAACGGG
Molecule: ribosomal RNA, 253 nt
Filed under: uncultured bacterium
Lineage: Bacteria
Description: partial 16S ribosomal RNA
Rfam family: Bacterial small subunit ribosomal RNA
Source: RNAcentral